AAGACAGGUCUGAAAACAGGAGACAAAGGGCAUGAAAGGGGAUGUAUGUGAAGGACAACAGAAGUUGAACAACAUGAAAGGGGAUGUAUGAGAAGGACAACAGAAGUUGAACAACAUGAAAGGGGAUGUAUGCGAAGGGCAACAGAAGUUGAACAGCAGAGGAGGUAAUCAUUUUGGAUAAACAGGGGGGAGGGGUUUGUGGGAUUCCACCCAGAGGGGCAUAUCCCAUGGUGGACAGCCGGGGAGCUGGGGUCCGAUGGCGAUCCGCUUGUCGUCAAUAUCUGGAGGUGGUCUUGAAGAGGGCCGACCGGGCUGUCCUCCAAGUACGACGACAGCGACGGACAAACGUCUGGGCAGAAGGGAUAAAUACACUGGGGUAAAAUAAGCGACCCCUGAAUGGGGUGGAGACAAUCACAGGAACAGGUGAAACAGAUCAGGGCGUGACAGCCAUCCCAUGUGACAAAAGCAGCGGUGUGGCGUCUCUACAAGGAAUCGAUGAAAACACUUGCUGGUUGGACUGGAGGAUGAUACGGUGCUGGUGGAAAGCUAUGGCUGGCAACAACACCUGACUCUGUACUUCAGGCCACUGACACAGAUCAAGCAAUAGCAGCACUUCAGCUUCAAAGCUCUGGAGCAUGGUGUUGUUGUCGCCAAGGAGCGUUCGGACUCAGUCUGCGCAACGAUGACGUCCUUCCUCCCAUAGAUGGUCCGUCUGUACAAGCACCACCUGGACUGUACAAGCACACCGCUAGACAAACUUAGAUUUUUGAGAAGAUCAGGGAGUUUUUGCGACGAAGAGGCAAUGGGACAUCACAUGUCCUGACCCAAAGUCGAGGGCAGGACAGAAACAGGCUCUCCGAAGAUAGAUUCCCUUGUUCAUGCCUAGUUCGGACGGACCAGUCAUCACCACUGUCCGCAGUGCCUCUAUUAAUUAAAAUGACUCUCUCCUAACACACACACACACACACACACACACACACACACACACACACACACACACACACACACACACACACACACACACACACACACACACACAUACGUUGCUGCUACUAUUUUUUAUCCUGCUGCUCAGCCACUUUACCACUGAUUGUAUGCAUAUAAACCUAACUACCUCGUCUAUCACUAUCGCUAUUGAUAUUGUUGGUAUUGUACAUACUGUAUUUUAUUUAUAGUGACGCUGUACAUUUCUGAUAUUGCAUCUAUGCAAGUAACCAUUUGGCUGUACCGCAGGUAAAGCAAUUUAAUUGAUGAAGACAUCGCAGAUGAAGUUAUGUGUAACAUUAGAGAGGUUUUCUCAGAAAGCCACUUCGCAUCGCUAGUUCUGUAGAGACCCAUCCACGUAGCAAGACUUAGCAACAAACAAAAAAAUAUAUUAUAAAAAUAAAUAUAUAUAUAUAAAAUGAAUAUUGAUAUGUGCGUUCGUAACAUGAUUUUGUGACAUACCACAACAAUAUUCAACAAUAUACAGUGCCUUGCGAAAGUAUUCGGCAUGCCCAAUUUUUCAGUUUGUGAUUUGUUGAAAAAGUUUGAAAUAUCCAAUAAAUGUCGUUCCACUUCA
Oncorhynchus kisutch (coho salmon) is the source of this 1561-nucleotide long non-coding RNA. RefSeq lists it as uncharacterized. Lineage: Eukaryota; Metazoa; Chordata; Actinopteri; Salmoniformes; Salmonidae. The record is from RefSeq and is a predicted model, not a curated record. The transcript is spliced from 4 exons.